This 165-nucleotide ribosomal RNA is filed under the name uncultured bacterium. RNAcentral's name for it is "partial 16S rRNA". It matches the Rfam family "Bacterial small subunit ribosomal RNA", at positions 355 to 512 of the family's 1533-position model. The record is from RNAcentral.
UAGGGAAUCUUCCACAAUGGACGAAAGUCUGAUGGAGCAACGCCGCGUGAGUGAAGAAGGUUUUCGGAUCGUAAAGCUCUGUUGUUGGUGAAGAAGGAUAGAGGCAGUAACUGGUCUUUAUUUGACGGUAAUCAACCAGAAAGUCACGGCUAACUACGUGCCACG